RNAcentral lists this unclassified non-coding RNA (2586 nucleotides) under Cotesia glomerata. Its description in RNAcentral is "armadillo segment polarity protein, transcript variant X3". The record is from RNAcentral. Lineage: Eukaryota; Metazoa; Arthropoda; Insecta; Hymenoptera; Braconidae.
CUUUACUUGACAGAUCUCCGUAAGAUACCGAGGAAGCUGGUGUUACGUGUGAGUAAUUUAUUGUUAUCGAGUGAUUCAUAGGUGAUAACCGACCCGGAUCUUCCAAAUACCCAAGUGGUGUAUACCUUGAUAGCGGUGUCUACGUACAACUGGAGCCAUGAGUUCCAAUCAAAUGAGACCUGUGUCUCAUGGUAACUACCAAGGACCAGGUGACUUACCAAUGGGUUCAGCUAAAGAGCAGACCCUAAUGUGGCAGCAAAAUUCAUACAUGGGUGACUCUGGUAUCCAUUCUGGAGCCGCUACACAGGCUCCAUCAUUGUCAGGAAAAGAUGACGAUGAAAUGGAAGGAGAUCAACUGAUGUUCGACUUGGAUCAAGGGUAUCCUCAGGGAUUUACUCAAGACCAAGUUGAUGAAAUGAAUUCACAACUGAGCCAUACACGUUCACAACGUGUACGCGCAGCGAUGUUCCCGGAGACAUUGGAAGAAGGUAUUGAAAUUCCAUCGACUCAAUUCGACCCGGCUCAGCCGACAGCAGUUCAGCGCUUAGCCGAGCCGAGUCAGAUGCUGAAGCACGCGGUUGUCAACUUGAUAAACUACCAAGACGACGCGGACUUGGCAACUCGAGCCAUUCCGGAACUGAUAAAGCUCCUUAACGAUGAAGAUCAAGUGAUCGUAUCUCACGCAGCCAUGAUGGUCCAUCAGCUAUCAAAGAAGGAGGCUGCUCGGCACGCCAUCAUGAACAGCUCUCAGAUGGUCGCGGCUUUGGUUCGCGCUAUCUCCAACAGCGACGACCUGGAGUCGACAAAAGCUGCCGUGGGUACUCUACACAAUUUGUCUCACCACAGACAGGGUCUGCUGGCUAUCUUUAAGAGCGGUGGAAUCCCAGCUCUCGUUAAGCUGCUCAGCUCUGGUGUCGAGUCUGUUCUAUUCUACGCCAUUACAACUCUCCACAACCUUCUGCUCCACCAGGACGGCUCCAAAAUGGCAGUACGUCUGGCUGGUGGACUCCAAAAAAUGGUCGCGUUACUUCAGCGUAAUAACGUCAAAUUUCUGGCAAUCGUCACCGACUGUCUCCAAAUUCUUGCUUACGGUAACCAGGAAAGUAAACUUAUUAUUCUCGCUUCACAAGGGCCAAUUGAGCUUGUACGUAUUAUGCGCACUUACGACUACGAGAAGCUGUUGUGGACUACUUCACGUGUUUUAAAAGUAUUAUCAGUAUGUGCGAGCAACAAACCAGCGAUCGUUGAAGCUGGUGGUAUGCAAGCACUCGCAAUGCACUUGGGUAACCCAAGCCAAAGACUUGUUCAAAACUGUCUCUGGACUCUGCGGAAUCUUUCGGACGCUGGUACUAAAGUUGAUGGCUUGGAAGGACUGCUCCAGAGUCUCGUACAAGUUCUCGCAUCCACCGACGUCAAUGUUGUCACCUGCGCUGCUGGAAUUCUUUCAAAUCUCACAUGUAACAAUCAGCGUAAUAAGAUCACAGUAUGUCAAGUCGGAGGUGUUGAAGCUCUGAUUCGCACAAUCGUAAAUGCUGGGGAUCGUGAGGAAAUAACAGAACCGGCGGUCUGUGCUUUGCGUCACUUGACAUCACGACACGUAGAGGCUGAAAUGGCACAGAAUUCCGUGCGCGUAAAUUACGGUAUACAGGUGAUAGUUAAAUUACUUCACCCUCCGUCACGCUGGCCCUUGGUUAAGGCUGUUAUUGGUUUGAUUCGCAAUCUGACUCUCUGUCAAGCUAAUCACGUGCCUUUACGUGAACACGGUGCUAUUCAUCAUCUCGUCAGGCAUCUAAUGCGAGCAUUCCAAGACACUGAACGACAACGAGCAUCUGUCACUGGCAUGGGAAGCCAGCAAGUUUAUGCAGAUGGAGUACGUAUGGAGGAAAUUGUCGAAGGAAUUGUCGGUACGCUCCACAUUCUCGCGCGAGAAUCUCACAAUAGAGCAAUCAUACGAUCUCAAAAUGUCAUUCCUAUCUUCGUACAGUUACUGUUUAAUGAGAUUGAAAAUAUUCAACGAGUCGCUGCGGGUGUGCUUUGUGAGCUGGCAGCCGACAAAGAGGGUGCCGAGAUGAUAGAACAAGAGGGUGCCACGGCACCGCUGACAGAAUUACUGCACUCGAGAAACGAGGCUGUCGCAACUUACGCUGCCGCUGUUUUAUUCCGUAUGAGCGAGGACAAACCCCAAGACUAUAAAAAACGUAUAUCAAUGGAGCUGACAAAUUCACUACGUGAAGAUACGAAUAUGUGGAAUAAUCCAGAUUUCGGAAUUAUGGGCCCAGAUUUACAGGACAUGCUCGGUACUGAACCAGGCUAUGAUGGUAUGUAUGGACAGGGACCCCCUAGUGUUCACAGCAGUCACGGCGGACGUGCUUAUCAGCCUCAAGCAUAAUCUAUGGAUUUAAUUUUAAGUAAUCAACUACCAUCAAAAUAACGCAGUAACUAGCAAGUUAUGACCAGAUUCCAAUAGACUCAAUGCAAGGAUUGGAAAUAGGGGGAUCAACUUACGGCGCAAUGGACGCGAUGGACGUCGGACAUGACCCGGAUCUGAGUUUUGACCACAUUGACGAACUUCCAGCGCCUCCACAA